Dendrobium catenatum is the source of this 93-nucleotide small nucleolar RNA. RefSeq annotates it as small nucleolar RNA snoR8a. The transcript has a single exon. NCBI's taxonomy places the organism in Eukaryota, Viridiplantae, Streptophyta, Magnoliopsida, Asparagales, Orchidaceae. The record is from RefSeq and is a predicted model, not a curated record.
AUGGUUGCUGUGAUUAUAAAAAAUUCCUCGUUCUGAAUUGCAAGGCUUCUUUUAGCAUGACAGACACCGAAUCACCCAUAGAAUAUGAGCACC